AGAUGAGCGAUUCAGGCUCUUGAGAGUCUCUUGUUAUCUUGUCCUUUAAUUAAGAAACACUGCAUAGUUUGGUAAAAAACAAUAACUUUAAUAUUUAACGUAGCAUUUCAAGAUUAAUCUGCCUUUAAAAUUAAGACCAAUCUUGAAAACCCUUGGCUAUUUGAAGUUAUUGCUCCUGCAAUAGCAAGUUCCCACAAUUUAUACAUGUUAUAUAUAUAUGUUCUUG
RNAcentral lists this long non-coding RNA (226 nucleotides) under Mytilus galloprovincialis (Mediterranean mussel). Lineage: Eukaryota; Metazoa; Mollusca; Bivalvia; Mytilida; Mytilidae. The record is from RNAcentral.